UACGUAGGGACCAAGCGUUGUUCGGAUUUACUGGGCGUAAAGGGCGCGUAGGCGGCAAUUCAAGUCAUCUGUGAAAUCUCCGGGCUUAACUCGGAACGGUCAAGUGAUACUGCUGUGCUAGAGUGCAGAAGGGGCAAUCGGAAUUCUUGGUGUAGCGGUGAAAUGCGUAGAUAUCAAGAGGAACACCUGAGGUGAAGACGGGUUGCUGGGCUGACACUGACGCUGAGGCGCGAAAGCCAGGGGAGCAAACGGG
Molecule: ribosomal RNA, 253 nt
Filed under: uncultured bacterium
Lineage: Bacteria
Description: partial 16S ribosomal RNA
Rfam family: Bacterial small subunit ribosomal RNA
Source: RNAcentral